GAUGAACGCUAGCUACAGGCUUAACACAUGCAAGUCGAGGGGAAACGAUAUUGGAAGCUUGCUUCCGAUAGGCGUCGACCGGCGCACGGGUGAGUAACGCGUAUCCAACCUGCCCACCACUUGGGGAUAACCUUGCGAAAGUAAGACUAAUACCCAAUGACGUCUCUAGAAGACAUCUGAAAGAGAUUAAAGAUUUAUCGGUGAUGGAUGGGGAUGCGUCUGAUUAGCUUGUUGGCGGGGUAACGGCCCACCAAGGCGACGAUCAGUAGGGGUUCUGGGAGGAAGGUCCCCCACAUUGGAACUGAGACACGGUCCAAACUCCUACGGGAGGCAGCAGUGAGGAAUAUUGGUCAAUGGGCGAGAGCCUGAACCAGCCAAGUAGCGUGCAGGAUGACGGCCCUAUGGGUUGUAAACUGCUUUUAUAAGGGAAUGAAGUGAGUCUCGUGAGACUUUUUGCAUGUACCUUAUGAAUAAGGACCGGCUAAUUCCGUGCCAGCAGCCGCCGCCG
RNAcentral lists this ribosomal RNA (508 nucleotides) under uncultured bacterium. Its description in RNAcentral is "partial 16S ribosomal RNA". It matches the Rfam family "Bacterial small subunit ribosomal RNA", at positions 28 to 523 of the family's 1533-position model. The record is from RNAcentral.